Molecule: long non-coding RNA, 628 nt
Organism: Diorhabda carinulata
Lineage: Eukaryota; Metazoa; Arthropoda; Insecta; Coleoptera; Chrysomelidae
Exons: 3
Source: RefSeq, a predicted model, not a curated record
GUGUCAGAUCAGUUGACCAUAGAAGUAAUAUAAUAUCUUUUCGAUCUCGUGGUAAAUCUAACCCUGUAUAUAAUCUUUGAAUCCAACUUUAGUUCGAUUUUCUUCUUGUUGUUUCCAAUAUUUUUAUUAUUGUGAUCAAGAAUGGAUAUACUAUCCUGCAAAAACAGAACCUUGAUCCUGAAAUUGUGUACAGUGAUGUAGAAAGCUUGGGAUGCUUAUCCCAAAAAGGAUAAUCUGAAACACCAUCUCAGUAGGGCCCAAAGUCAUUCAAAAUAAAAAGAGGCGGUAGAUUAGGGGAACCAGAAAAAGAAAAUAUCACAAAUCUAUUUACCUCUGCAGUGACAGUGCUGCCAAGUAAAAAAAAGAAUAGUGAAGAAGUUCAUCAUCAGCCUAAAAAGCAUCGUUUAUUUGCAGAAUGAAAUGGAUACAUAAGAGAAUCAAGAUUAAAUUGACGACUUGAAUAGCAAAAUUUCUAGCCUUUAAUUUGAUGCAAAAAGAGAGCAAGAAAAAAUGAAUUACUAUCCAUUUCUAAUUAUAUUUUAUUUCUGGUCUCUUUAUUUAUUUUACAGUUUCCUUUUUUCAAUAGUUCUCAUAAUACUUAAUAUUCAAUAAAAGUAUAUCUAAUUUA